RNAcentral lists this ribosomal RNA (408 nucleotides) under uncultured bacterium. RNAcentral's name for it is "partial 16S ribosomal RNA". It matches the Rfam family "Bacterial small subunit ribosomal RNA", at positions 28 to 526 of the family's 1533-position model. The record is from RNAcentral.
GACGAACGCUGGCGGCGUGCCUAAUACAUGCAAGUCGAACGAAGUGGCGAACGGGUGAGUAAUACGUGGGUACCCUGCCCUCCUUUUUGGGAUAAGCCUUGGAAACGGGGUCUAAUAUCGAAUAAAGGGGGAUGGGCUCGCGGCCUAUCAGCUUGUUGGUGGGGUGAUGGCCUACCAAGGCGGUGACGGGUAGCCGGCCUGAGAGGGUGACCGGCCACAUUGGGACGGAGAGACGGCCCAGACUCCGACGGGGGGCAGCAGUGGGGGAUAUGGCAGAAGUGGCGAAGGCCUGAUGCAGCGGAGCCGCGUGGGGGAUGAAAGCUUUCGGGUUGGAAACCUCUUACGCUAUCGAACGGGUAGGUAGAGAAGAAGCGCCGGCUAACUACGUGCCAGCAGCCGCGGUAAUUC